ACGCUGGCGGCGUGCUUCAUACAUGCAAGUCGAACGAUAAGGCACCUUCGGGUGUACAUAAGUGGCGGACGGGUGAGUAAUAUGUAGAGAAUCUGCCCUAGAGAGUGGGACAACAGUUGGAAACGACUGCUAAUACCGCAUAUGAGCGUACCUGAAAUGGUAUUCUUGAAAACUCCGGUGCUCUGGGAUGAGUCUGCAUCUGAUUAGCUAGUUGGGGGUGUAAUGGACCACCAAGGCGACGAUCAGUAGCUGGUUUGAGAGGAUGAUCAGCCACAAUGGGACUGAGACACGGCCCAUACUCCUACGGGAGGCAGCAGUAGGGAAUUUUGCGCAAUGGGGGAAACCCUGACGCCAGCAACGCCGCGUGACCGAUGAAGCCCUUCGGGGUGUAAAGGUCUGUCAGUGGGGACGAAUAUUGACGGUACCCACAGAGGAAGCAUCGGCUAACUCCGUGCCAGCCGCCGC
RNAcentral lists this ribosomal RNA (465 nucleotides) under uncultured bacterium. RNAcentral describes it as "bacterial SSU rRNA". It matches the Rfam family "Bacterial small subunit ribosomal RNA", at positions 33 to 518 of the family's 1533-position model. The record is from RNAcentral.